AUUGAACGCUGGCGGCAGGCCUAACACAUGCAAGUCGAACGAUUGGCGGACUGGUGAGUAAUGUCUGGGAAACUGCCUGAUGCAUGGGGAUAACCUCUGGAACCGGUAGCCAAUACCGCAUACCAUCGGAUGUGCCCAGAUGGGAUUAGCUAGUAGGUGGGGUAAAGGCCCACCUAGGCGACGAUCCCUAGCUGGUCUGAGAGGAUGACCAGCCACACUGGAACUGAGACACGGUCCAGACGCCUACGGGAGGCAGCAGUGGGGAAUAUUGCACAAUGGGCGCAAGCCUGAUGCAGCCAUGCCGCGUGUAUGAAGAAGGCCUUCGGGUUGUAAAGUACUUUCAGCGGGGAGGCGUUACCCGCAGAAGAAGCACCGGCUAACUCCGUGCCAGCCGCCGCGGUAAUUC
Molecule: ribosomal RNA, 406 nt
Filed under: uncultured bacterium
Lineage: Bacteria
Description: partial 16S ribosomal RNA
Rfam family: Bacterial small subunit ribosomal RNA
Source: RNAcentral